This is an RNA transcript of Phyllopteryx taeniolatus (common seadragon), 3110 nucleotides long. It is a transcript of the gene named transmembrane protein 68, with no coding region annotated. NCBI's taxonomy places the organism in Eukaryota, Metazoa, Chordata, Actinopteri, Syngnathiformes, Syngnathidae. The record is from RefSeq and is a predicted model, not a curated record. The transcript has 11 exons.
GUUACUUCACCGGAACAAUUUCUGUGUUACACUCAAAGACCCGACCCGAGUCACCAAGAGGGCAUUUGUCAGUUUAAUGGCGUUGAUAUUGUGCUAAACUGAUAGGAUUUUAUGAAAUGUCUCUACAAGCAGAGUAUCGAGCUAUGUUUGCUUGGCUAUAGCAGUCAAUGCUGUCCGAGCGAGUAUUUCAAGAGCUCCAUCUGCCGCGAAUGACAGCAAGGAAGGAUGUCAGAUGCUGGGAACCAGUCAUGUCGGAUGCUGGCAGAGGACACCGUCAGCUUCUUGAUAAUUGCAUCCUCAUGUGUCCGUGCCGAUACAGCUAUCAUUGUGUGCGUCUUUCAUGCCUGGGAGGAAUGGGUGGGCCUCGGUCAGGUGGAGGACUACCUGAGUUUUUUGGAAUACUUAUUGUGGGUCUUCACCCCUCUAGCAAUUGUCUUUAUCCUGCCUUUUCUCAUCGUCAUCCUCCUUUACCUCUCGAUACUUUUUCUUCAUGUCUACAAGAGGAAGAACCAGUUGAGGGAGGCAUAUUGCAACAACCUUUGGGACGGAGCCAGAAAGACUCUGGCAACUCUAUGGGAUGGACAUGGAUCGAUAUGGCACGGCUACGAGAUCCAUGGGAUGGACAAGAUCCCUGACAAAGGAGCAGCGCUGAUAGUGUACUAUCACGGAGCCAUUCCCAUAGAUUACUACUACUUCUUAGCCAAUGUCAUUAUCCAGAAAGGACGAACCUGCCACUCUGUUGCUGACCACUUCCUUUUCAAAAUACCAGGUUUCAAGUUACUGUUGGAGGUGUUCAGUGUGAUGCAUGGUCCCCAGGAAGAGUGUGUACAGGCACUGAAGAAUGGCCACCUGUUGGGGAUCUCUCCCGGAGGCGUGAGGGAGGCUUUGUUCAGUGAUGAGACAUAUCCUCUUCUUUGGGGCAAACGUAAAGGCUUUGCCCAGGUUGCCAUCGACUCUAAGGUGUGUCUACUCACGACCGUAGAUCAGCUGGUCGGUGGGAUGGUCUGUCUCAGUCGUCUCAGGAGGCGAGGAGGCCAUUAUUCCAAUGUUUACUCAAAAUGUCCGAGAAGGCUUCAGAUCUUUGGGAACACUGAGAUUUUUCCGUUGGCUAUAUGAGACAUUUCGUCUUCCUGUAGCUCCUGUUUAUGGUGGAUUCCCAGUGAAGUUCCGGACAUUCCUCGGCGAUCCGAUUCCCUAUGACCCGAACGUAACAGCUUCAGAGCUGGCAGAAAAAGUGAACCGGGCCGUCCAGUCCCUCAUAGACAAGCACCAGCGGAUCCCAGGGAACGUUCUGAGAGCUCUUUUGGAGAGAUUCCACACUAAAUAUAAAGCCGAAUAGCAACAGCACAUCAACAUACACAAACUAUCCAUCAGAUGAGGAGAACAAAAAUGGGAUAUACAAGGUGUGUCCAAAAGACAGACAAGGCCGGGAAAGCGCACUUGACUCCAGGCGGGAAACUCAUGUAUCGCUUUUGACGUUCCGCAACUUUGCUGAUGACCGGUGCCCUCUUCAGACACGUUCUUUGGGUGACAAAGAUAAUAUGGAGUCAUUUUGUGCUUGGACUUGCUUUCUACGGGUUCCCAAGGAGAGACAAAAGCUCAAAUGGAUUUUUUGAAGAUGAAACAGUUGAGCAAGAGUUCGAUGAUCUCGGUCAAGUCAGUAACCGUGCGAACACUUCAUAUCACAGCUGUUGAUUUGAGCGCUCUUAAUAGGACUUUGUAAAUGUUUACAGCAUUAGACAAAAGGCCUAAUACAUUUAGUUAUGACCCAUUGACACCUAUUGAGGUUGGCCGCACAUUUGUUUUUGUUUUUUUUGUGAUUGCUAUUUUGUUGUGUAUUGGGAACAAAGACCUUUAAGUUAACAUAUUAUCAUUGAAAUAUGUUUUUGACAGAUUCUGUCUAAAUGUGUGUAAACACUAUGGAACUCCACCUUUUUUGUGGAAUGUUUUCUGGUAUGUAAAAUGGAAUUGGCAAGGCCAUCCAUUGGAAUUGGAGCUGGUUGGAAAAUAUCAACUACUUCACAAUACUACGCGGAAAUGCAAUUGGCAUUAUUCAUGUAUUCAUUCAUUCUAACCAUUUUCCGUAGCACUUAUCGUCAGUAGGCUCGCAGCUCGCAGACGUGGUGGAGCCUAUCCCAGCCGACGGGUCCGGGCGAGAGGCGGGGUGCCCCCUGAACUGAGCCCAUCGCAGGGCACGUACCGACAAACGGCCAUUCGCACCUAUGGGCAAUUUGGAGUGUGGGAAGAAACCGGAGGAACCAGAGAAAAGCUGGUCAGCUUUCCGGCGUUUUGUCACUGUAAUUUAUUUGAAAAUUGCACGUGUUUAUGCAAAUGUGCUGUUGUCUUGAAUGCUUUCAAGUUACAAAUUCAAGUCAAGUUCAAGGGAAAUCAACCAUUUCCAUGGGUUCCAUGGAGUUUUCAGUCUCCAUAGCAACCAUAUUUUCGAGAAGGGCCAGAAAUUCGAAUGACCCGAUUUCAGGCCUCUCGGCCAAAAAAUGUCUGGAACUCAGGAUUGCGUGGACGAUUUUAAUUCAUAUUUCAUGCUUAUUGAGGCACCAUAGAGACAUUAACCAUAAACAUAGCAUUUAGUUUGAGUUUUGGUGCAAUUGUAACGGUCGUUCCAUGACUCUGGGGAAUAGACUUUCACCUUCACUGGCCAUAAACCAUCAGUGUCCUUGCAUAAAACCGAAAUAUCGAAGGGGCACAAGUGCGCCCUUUGGAAGGUGCAUAUUGUGCAAUAGCAGAAUCGAAUCUUAUUCGUAGCGUUCCUAGAUCUCGAUUGCUUAGUAUUUGUGUAUCAGAAGAGAUUUAAUUGUCCACAUCGUGGUUGAGAUGCAGUGUCAUUUAUGACUUUUCUGUGCAUGUAAACACAUUUAUUUGCAUGUAUGUACUAAUGAUUCGACUGAUGAUUUCUUUCACAAAAAAAGCUUUGAAAUUGUGCCGCCAACUCAGAUUUCUUUUGUUGAAUGAUGGUAACUCGUUUGAAGUGAUUGUUUUAUCACUGUGUAAUGGCUGCUUUUCAUAUGUAUAUGUGUCGUCCAUUUACCUGAUUUUAAAUGAGACGAUCGAAAUAGGGCUCUUUUAAAUUUGAAUAAAUCUAUUUUUUUUAA